This 275-nucleotide ribosomal RNA is filed under the name uncultured bacterium. RNAcentral describes it as "partial 16S ribosomal RNA". It matches the Rfam family "Bacterial small subunit ribosomal RNA", at positions 338 to 610 of the family's 1533-position model. The record is from RNAcentral.
CCUACGGGUGGCUGCAGUAAGGAAUAUUGGUCAAUGGACGCAAGUCUGAACCAGCCAUGCCGCGUGAAGGAUGAAGGUCCUCUGGAUUGUAAACUUCUUUUAUGGGGGAAGAAAUCUCUUGAUUCUUCGAGAGUUGACGGUACCCUAGGAAUAAGCACCGGCUAACUCCGUGCCAGCAGCCGCGGUAAUACGGAGGGUGCAAGCGUUAUCCGGAUUCACUGGGUUUAAAGGGUGCGUAGGAGGGCAGGUAAGUCAGUGGUGAAAUCUCCGAGCUU